CGCGUAGGCGGUUCCGAAAGUGGCAUGUGAAAUCCUCUGGCUCAACCAGAGAAGUGCGUGCCAAACUUCGGUUCUAGAGGAUGGUAGGGGGGACUGGAACUCUCGGUGGAGCGGUGAAAUGCGUAGAUAUCGAGAGGAACACCGGUGGCGAAGGCGAGUCCCUGGUCCAUCACUGACGCUGAGGCGCGAAAGCGUGGGUAGCAAACAGGAUUAGAUACCCUGGUAGUCCACGCCGUAAACGAUGAACACUAGGUAGCGGCCGGAUCCGACCGGUCGCUGCUGACGGAAAUCCAUUAAGUGUUCCGCCUGGGGAGUAUGGUCGCAAGGCUGAA
This 332-nucleotide ribosomal RNA is filed under the name uncultured Planctomycetota bacterium. RNAcentral describes it as "bacterial SSU rRNA". It matches the Rfam family "Bacterial small subunit ribosomal RNA", at positions 568 to 898 of the family's 1533-position model. Lineage: Bacteria; Pseudomonadati; Planctomycetota. The record is from RNAcentral.